CCCUGGCCCCUGGUCCUGUCCUGUUCUCCAGCAUGGUGUGUCUGAGGCUCCCUGGAGGCUCCUGCAUGGCAGCUCUGACAGUGACGCUGAUGGUGCUGAGAUCCCCACUGGCUUUGGCUGGGGGCACCCAACCAGGUUUCUUGGAGCAGGCUAAGUGUGAGUGUCAUAUCUUCAAUGGGACUGAGCGGGUGCAGUACCUGAACAGAUACAUCCAUAAACGGGAGGAGAACCUGCGCUUCCAUAGCGACCUGGGGGAGUUCCAGGCGGUGACGCAACUGGGGCGACCUGUCGCGGAGAAGUGGAACAGCCAGAAGGGCAUCCUGGAGGAGAAGCGGGACAAGGUGGACACCUACUGCAGAUACAAUUACGGGGUUUUUGAGAGCUUCACAGAGCAGCGAUGAGUCCAACCUAAGGUGACUGUGUAUCCUGCAAAGACCCAGCCCCUGCAGCACCACACCCUCCUGGUCUGCUCUGUGAGUGGUUUCUAUCCAGGCAGCAUUGAAGUCAGGUGGUUCCGGAAUGGCCAGGAAGAGAAGGCUGGGGUGGUGUCCGCAGGCCUGAUACACAAUGGAGACUGGACCUUCCAGACCCUGGUGAUGCUGGAAACAGUUCCUCGGAGUGGAGAGGUUUACACCUGCCAAGUGGAGCACCCAAGCGUGAUGAGCCCUCUCACAGUGCAAUGGAGAGCACGGUCUGAAUCUGCACAGAGCAAGAUGCUGAGUGGAGUCGGGGGCUUUGUGCUGGGCCUGCUCUUCCUUGGGGCCGGGCUGUUCGUCUACUUCAGGAAUCAGAAAGGACACUCUGGACUUCCGCCAACAGAAUUGCAACAAACAGGCCUUGUUCCCUAA
This is a non-coding RNA of Chlorocebus sabaeus (green monkey), 848 nucleotides long. Lineage: Eukaryota; Metazoa; Chordata; Mammalia; Primates; Cercopithecidae. The record is from RefSeq and is a predicted model, not a curated record.